CCUACGGGGGGCUGCAGUGGGGAAUAUUGCACAAUGGGCGCAAGCCUGAUGCAGCGACGCCGCGUGAGCGAUGAAGGCCUUCGGGUCGUAAAGCUCUGUCCUAAGGGAAGAAUAAUGACGGUACCUUAGGAGGAAGCGCCGGCUAACUACGUGCCAGCAGCCGCGGUAAUACGUAGGGGGCGAGCGUUAUCCGGAAUCACUGGGCGUAAAGGGUGCGUAGGCGGCCCUGCAAGUAAGUAGUUCAAUCCCUCGGCUCAAGCGAGGUCAUCUCUUGAAACUGUAGGGCUUGAUUGCGGGAGAGGCAAAUGGUAUACCCAGUGUGGCGGUGAAAUGCGUAGAGAUUGGGAGGAACACCAGUAGCGAAGGCGAUUUUCUGGAACGUAACUGACGCUGAGGAACGAAAGCGUGGGGAGCGAACAGGAUUAGAUACCCCAGUAGUC
RNAcentral lists this ribosomal RNA (440 nucleotides) under uncultured bacterium. RNAcentral describes it as "bacterial SSU rRNA". It matches the Rfam family "Bacterial small subunit ribosomal RNA", at positions 338 to 795 of the family's 1533-position model. The record is from RNAcentral.